GACGAACGCUGGCGGCGUGCUUAACACAUGCAAGUCGAACGGAAAGGCCCUGCUUUUGUGGGGUGCUCGAGUGGCGAACGGGUGAGUAACACGUGAGUAACCUGCCCUUGACUUUGGGAUAACUUCAGGAAACUGGGGCUAAUACCGGAUAGGAGCUCCUGCUGCAUGGUGGGGGUUGGAAAGUUUCGGCGGUUGGGGAUGGACUCGCGGCUUAUCAGCUUGUUGGUGGGGUAGUGGCUUACCAAGGCUUUGACGGGUAGCCGGCCUGAGAGGGUGACCGGCCAAAUUGGGACUGAGAUACGGCCAAGACUCCUACGGGAGGCAGCAGUGGGGAAUAUUGAACAAUGGGCGGAAGCCUGAUGCAGCAACGACGCGUGCGGGAUGACGGCCUUCGGGUUGUAAACCGCUUUCGCCUGUGACGAAGCGUGAGUGACGGUAAUGGGUAAAGAAGCACCGGCUAACUACGUG
Molecule: ribosomal RNA, 468 nt
Filed under: uncultured bacterium
Lineage: Bacteria
Description: partial 16S ribosomal RNA
Rfam family: Bacterial small subunit ribosomal RNA
Source: RNAcentral